AAGGUUCAACAACGGAUCUCUUGGCUCUCGCAUCGAUGAAGAACGCAGCGAAAUGCGAUAAGUAAUGUGAAUUGCAGAAUUCAGUGAAUCAUCGAAUCUUUGAACGCACCUUGCGCUCCUUGGUAUUCCUUGGAGCAUGCCUGUUUGAGUAUCAU
This 155-nucleotide ribosomal RNA is filed under the name Rhizoctonia solani. Its description in RNAcentral is "5.8S ribosomal RNA". It matches the Rfam family "5.8S ribosomal RNA". Rfam says of the family: 5.8S ribosomal RNA (5.8S rRNA) is a component of the large subunit of the eukaryotic ribosome. It is transcribed by RNA polymerase I as part of the 45S precursor that also contains 18S and 28S rRNA. The record is from RNAcentral. Lineage: Eukaryota; Fungi; Basidiomycota; Agaricomycetes; Cantharellales; Ceratobasidiaceae.